UACGGAGGGGGCAAGCGUUAUUCGGAAUUAUUGGGCGUAAAGGGCGCGUAGGCGGCUAGAUGUGUCAAAGGUGAAAUCCCUCGGCUCAACUGAGGAACUGCCUUUGAAACUGUCUGGCUUGAGGCCGGGAGAGGGUAGCGGAAUUCCCAGUGUAGCGGUGAAAUGCGUAGAUAUUGGGAGGAACACCAGUGGCGAAGGCGGCUCACUGGUCCGGUACUGACGCUGAGGUGCGAAAGCGUGGGGAGCAAACAGG
RNAcentral lists this ribosomal RNA (253 nucleotides) under uncultured bacterium. RNAcentral's name for it is "partial 16S ribosomal RNA". It matches the Rfam family "Bacterial small subunit ribosomal RNA", at positions 524 to 776 of the family's 1533-position model. The record is from RNAcentral.